Molecule: transfer RNA, 77 nt
Filed under: Bacillota bacterium
Lineage: Bacteria; Bacillati; Bacillota
Also listed under: 3 other names
Description: tRNA-Arg
Rfam family: tRNA
About the family: Transfer RNA (tRNA) molecules are approximately 80 nucleotides in length.
Source: RNAcentral
GCGCCCGUAGCUCAGUUGGAUAGAGCGUCUGGCUACGAACCAGAAGGCCGGGGGUUCGAGUCCCUCCGGGCGCGCCA